CAGCCGCCGCGGGAAUACAGAGGGUGCGAGCGUUAAUCGGAUUUACUGGGCGUAAAGCGUGCGUAGGCGGCUUCUUAAGUCGGAUGUGAAAUCCCUGAGCUUAACUUAGGAAUUGCAUUCGAUACUGGGAAGCUAGAGUAUGGGAGAGGAUGGUAGAAUUCCAGGUGUAGCGGUGAAAUGCGUAGAGAUCUGGAGGAAUACCGAUGGCGAAGGCAGCCAUCUGGCCUAAUACUGACGCUGAGGUACGAAAGCAUGGGGAGCAAACAGGAUUAGAUACCCGUGUAGUCCCUGUCUCUUAUAU
RNAcentral lists this ribosomal RNA (301 nucleotides) under uncultured bacterium. RNAcentral's name for it is "partial 16S ribosomal RNA". It matches the Rfam family "Bacterial small subunit ribosomal RNA", at positions 509 to 809 of the family's 1533-position model. The record is from RNAcentral.